RNAcentral lists this ribosomal RNA (1604 nucleotides) under Nitrosarchaeum sp. RNAcentral's name for it is "bacterial SSU rRNA". It matches the Rfam family "Bacterial small subunit ribosomal RNA". The record is from RNAcentral. Lineage: Archaea; Thermoproteati; Nitrososphaerota; Nitrososphaeria; Nitrosopumilales; Nitrosopumilaceae.
UUAGAGUUUGAUCCUAGCUCAGGAUGAACGCUGGCGGCGUGGAUAAGGCAUGCAAGUCGAACGGAUCAGUCCCAUGAAUGUUUGAAAGACUUCGAGUAGCAAUACAAGAAGAAUGGAUGAUUGGAUUGGGGUUUCUGAUUAGUGGCGAACGAGGUAGUAAUACACAGGAACGUACCCCAAAGUCGUGAAUAAUUCAUCGAAAGGUGGACUAAUACACGAUGGUCUCGCAAGAGUAAAGUUUUAACGCUUUGGGAGCGGCCUGUGCGAUAUCAGCUAGUUGGUAGUGUAAUGGACUACCAAGGCUAUGACGUCUAGGGGAGGUGAGAGCCUGACCCCCACCGAUGGAACUGCGACACGGUCCAUACACCUACGGGUGGCUGCAGCCGAGAAUAUUCCGCAAUGGGCGAAAGCCUGACGGAGCGACGCCGCGUGAUUGAUGAAGUCCCUCUGGGACGUAAAGAUCUUUUGUCGGGGAAGAAAUUAUUGACGGUACCCGAAGAAUAAGAGGCUCCUAAUCUCGUGCCAGCAGGAGCGGUAAUACGAGAGCCUCGAGCGUUAUCCGGAAUCAUUGGGCGUAAAGGGUGCGUAGGUUGUUCUGUUAGUCUUUUGUUAAAUUCUGGGGCUCAACCCUAGAGAAGCAGGAGAUACGGCAGAACUUGAAAGUGCGAGAGGUAUACGGAACUCAUGGUGUAGGGGUGAAAUCCGUUGAUAUCAUGGGGAACACCAAAAGCGAAAGCAGUAUACUGGCGCAUGUUUGACACUUAAGCACGAAAGCGUGGGUAGCGAAUGGGAUUAGAUACCCCAGUAGUCCACGCCCUAAACGAUCUUCUCUCGGUUUUCGGAGUAUCGACCCUCUGAGAGCCUUAGCUAACGCGUUAAGAGAAGCGCCUGGGAAGUACGGCCGCAAGGCUAAAACUCAAAGGAAUAGACGGGGACUUGCACAAGCAGUGGAUUAUGUGGUUUAAUUCGAUGGUAAACGAAGAACCUUACCAGGGUUAGAAAUCAACGUGAAAUCCUACAGAAACGUAGGCCCUCGCAAGACUAGUUGACAGGUGCUGCAUGGCCGUCGUCAGUUCGUGGUUUGAAUUGUCCCCUUAAGUGGGUUAACGAACGCAACCCUCGUUGUGUGUUACAAGUGUCACACGAUACUGCCCACGCCUAAGCGUACGAAGCGUACGCAAAGUUUAAAUGUUUAAAAAUUUUAAUAUUUAAAUCUUGCCUAAAUUCGCUUCGCGAAUUUAGGCGUGGGAGGAAGGAGAGGAUGACGCCAGGUCAGCAUGGCCCUUGAUACCCUGGGCUACACACAUAAUACAAUCGCCAUUACAACGCGCAGCGACGAGGCAACUCUGAGCAAAUCGUUUAAAAAUGGCGCCAGUUCGGAUUGGAGGCUGCAACUCGCCUCCAUGAAGCCGGAAUUGCUAGUAAUCGCGGGUCAGCUAAACCGCGGUGAAUACGUUCUCAAGUCUUGUACUCACCGCCCGUCAAGUCAAGGGAGCCGGGAGUACCCGAAGUCUCUACAUAAGUAGGGCCUAAGGUAAGUUCGGUAACAGGGACUAAGUCGUAACAAGGCACGGCUAGCGGAAGCUGGUCGUGGAUUAAUUCAA